GAAGAAUACGAGAUGGUGCACGAGCCAAUGUUCGACUCCAUUUUGCUGAUUAAAGCUUUCAUUGUCCUCCGAUUAAAGCGAUGAGGGAGAUUGAAACUUUGAGAUAAAUGUGGAAGGGAGUCGGGGUCUUUGGUCUACAGCAGCACUCAAACUGCGGUUCUGCAGUUUCCCUGUUGUUGGAGCUCACCGAUUGGCUGUGUUUCGACUCUUGUCUCCCCUCUCGCUGUGGAAGGAGUGAUUUCUGUUUCUCCUUUGUUAGUGAGAGAGAGAGCUGAUGAACGCUGGAGUGAGCAGUCAGUUUUUGAUGUACUGUGGACCAUGGUCUCUCUUUGGGAGCUUUGCUGUUGCUGGCAUGGGGCCGUGGACAAUUCUGAUUUGAUGGAGACGGACAAGAAAGCACAGAGGAACAUCUGGAGAAAUUUCUGAAACGCUCGUUCGCUGCUGUCGUUACUGCGCGGUCAGGAGUCUUUCGGAGGGAAGGCCUCAAAAUCCCUGGCCUUGCCUGCUUUUGGCGACCGAGAAGGAGGUCGAAUCAUUCAGAUAGUGAUGGCGUUCAGUACUCGGUGUCGGAGAGCUGAUCAGAGCUCGAAGUUUUUGGAUGACUCAGAGAUGGACCGUGGUCGGGUAUGGGAGGGAGAGUUUUUCUUCCUUCUCUCCGUUUGCGUGAGGUGUGGGACAUUUGAGAGACUUUACUGUGCUCAUGGACUUUACUGUGCUCAUGGACUUCAGCAAGUUAUGGUAUUGUUGCACUGUUGUAACUAUAUGUUAUAAUUAUGUGGUUUUGUUAGUUUUUUUGCA
Molecule: long non-coding RNA, 798 nt
Organism: Mobula hypostoma (lesser devil ray)
Lineage: Eukaryota; Metazoa; Chordata; Chondrichthyes; Myliobatiformes; Myliobatidae
Exons: 3
Source: RefSeq, a predicted model, not a curated record